ACGCUGGCGGCGUGCUUAACACAUGCAAGUCGAACGGUGAACCAGAGCUCGCUCUGGGGAUCAGUGGCGAACGGGUGAGUAACACGUGGGCAACCUGCCCCUGACUCUGGGAUAACCCCGGGAAACCGGAGCUAAUAUCGGAUAUGACCACUUCGGACAUCCGAUGGUGGUGGAAAGUUUUUCGGUCUGGGAUGGGCCCGCGGCCUAUCAGCUAGUUGGUGGGGUAAUGGCCUACCAAGGCGACGACGGGUAGCCGGCCUGAGAGGGCGACCGGCCACACUGGAACUGAGACACGGUCCAGACUCCUACGGGAGGCAGCAGUGGGGAAUAUUGCACAAUGGGCGAAAGCCUGAUGCAGCGACGCCGCGUGAGGGACGACGACCUUCGGGUUGUAAACCUCUUUCAGCAGGGACGAAGCGAAAGUGACUGUACCUGCAAAAGAAGCACCGGCUAACUACGUG
RNAcentral lists this ribosomal RNA (461 nucleotides) under uncultured bacterium. RNAcentral describes it as "bacterial SSU rRNA". It matches the Rfam family "Bacterial small subunit ribosomal RNA", at positions 33 to 507 of the family's 1533-position model. The record is from RNAcentral.